CCUACGGGAGGCAGCAGUGAGGAAUAUUGGUCAAUGGACGAGAGUCUGAACCAGCCAAGUAGCGUGAAGGAUGACUGCCCUAUGGGUUGUAAACUUCUUUUAUAUGGGAAUAAAAUGUUCCACGUGUGGGAUUUUGUAUGUACCAUAUGAAUAAGGAUCGGCUAACUCCGUGCCAGCAGCCGCGGUAAUACGGAGGAUCCGAGCGUUAUCCGGAUUUAUUGGGUUUAAAGGGGGCGUAGGUGGAUUGUUAAGUCAGUUGUGAAAGUUUGCGGCUCAACCGUAAAAUUGCAGUUGAAACUGGCAGUCUUGAGGACAGUAGAGGUGGGCGGAAUUCGUGGUGUAGCGGUGAAAUGCUUAGAUAUCACGAAGAACUCCGAUUGCGAAGGCAGUUCACUGGACUGCAACUGACACUGAGGCUCGAAAGUGUGGGUAUCAAACAGGAUUAGAUACCCCUGUAGUC
RNAcentral lists this ribosomal RNA (460 nucleotides) under uncultured bacterium. RNAcentral describes it as "partial 16S ribosomal RNA". It matches the Rfam family "Bacterial small subunit ribosomal RNA", at positions 338 to 795 of the family's 1533-position model. The record is from RNAcentral.